GUGAGUAACACGUGGAUAACCUACCUAUAAGACUGGGAUAACUACGGGAAACCGGAGCUAAUACCGGAUAAUAUAUUGAACCGCAUGGUUCAAUAGUGAAAGACGGUUUUGCUGUCACUUAUAGAUGGAUCCGCGCCGCAUUAGCUAGUUGGUAAGGUAACGGCUUACCAAGGCAACGAUGCGUAGCCGACCUGAGAGGGUGAUCGGCCACACUGGAACUGAGACACGGUCCAG
RNAcentral lists this ribosomal RNA (234 nucleotides) under uncultured Staphylococcus sp. RNAcentral describes it as "partial 16S ribosomal RNA". It matches the Rfam family "Bacterial small subunit ribosomal RNA", at positions 106 to 334 of the family's 1533-position model. Lineage: Bacteria; Bacillati; Bacillota; Bacilli; Caryophanales; Staphylococcaceae. The record is from RNAcentral.